RNAcentral lists this ribosomal RNA (468 nucleotides) under uncultured bacterium. Its description in RNAcentral is "partial 16S ribosomal RNA". It matches the Rfam family "Bacterial small subunit ribosomal RNA", at positions 28 to 507 of the family's 1533-position model. The record is from RNAcentral.
GACGAACGCUGGCGGCGUGCUUAACACAUGCAAGUCGAACGGAAAGGCCCUGCUUUUGUGGGGUGCUCGAGUGGCGAACGGGUGAGUAACACGUGAGUAACCUGCCCUUGACUUUGGGAUAACUUCAGGAAACUGGGGCUAAUACCGGAUAGGAGCUCCUGCUGCAUGGUGGGGGUUGGAAAGUUUCGGCGGUUGGGGAUGGAUUCGCGGCUUAUCAGCUUGUUGGUGGGGUAGUGGCUUACCAAGGCUGUGACGGGUAGCCGGCCUGGGAGGGUGACCGGGCACAAUGGGACUGAGGGACGGAGCAGACGCCAACGGGGGGCAGCGGUGGGGAGUAUUGCACAAUGAGCGGGAGCGUGAGGCAGCGGCGUCGGGUGCGGGAUGACGGCCUUCGGGUUGUGAACCGCUUUCGCCUGUGACGAAGCGUGAGUGACGGUAAUGGAUGAAGAAGCACCGGCUAACUACGUG